Talpa occidentalis (Iberian mole) is the source of this 675-nucleotide long non-coding RNA. RefSeq lists it as uncharacterized. NCBI's taxonomy places the organism in Eukaryota, Metazoa, Chordata, Mammalia, Eulipotyphla, Talpidae. The transcript has 4 exons. The record is from RefSeq and is a predicted model, not a curated record.
UUGUAGGGAGGGAGCUCUUGGAAUUCACUUCACAGAAACUGUGCUCCCAGACAGCCUAGGUGGGGGGAUGCCUCAAGCCCAGGCUUUGCCUGUCCCCCUGCUUUGUCAUCUCAUUCUCAAGCCUUGGUCCCCAACCCAGGAAACAGGAUGGAGAUAGCAGCGUCGAACUCUGCGAAGACUGGAGGUCUGGCUCACGCAAGACUGUGAGGACAAAUGUCCCAGACUCCUGCCACCACCUGGCAUGUUGCAAGAUGUGCUCACUGAUGACUCACCUGUCCUCCAGCGGGGACUGGCCUCGUGGAGGGAAUCCGGCGUGGUUGCUAUUCCGGUUGCAGGAGAACAGCUUCCUUCCCUGGCAUUGUCCUCAGAGUCUGGAGGCCUAGUGGAGCAUGGGGAGAGCAGGCCUUUGCCUCUCCCAGCACACACUGCCAGUCCUUGGAUCCUUCUUGACUCGCUGGCAUCGUUCCCGCAUCUGAGAGCCACUGUUCAGACCCACAGGGCUGCCCAGGACCCCAGAACACACCGCAGAUCUUGUUUCCUGGCUCCGAGUCAUCUUGUCGCUCUCAAGACCAGCCAGUCCUCCUCCUGACCAGACUUAACUUCUGCCACCUCCUCCAGGAAGCUCUUCCUGAUUUCCAGGCCUGCAGGAACUGCUUUCUUCUGAGAGGUCCGAGG